UUCACUUUGUUUAGAUGUAAGUGAUGAAGUAAUUCCUUCUGAAAAGAUGUUAAUUCUGAAAUAUAAGAAAAAUAGCAUGCAAAUGAACUGUCAUUUAGGAUAUUAUUUCUUACAAGGACUCUAGUUUUAAGGAGAUCAGGAUUGUAUAUGGAAACAGAUCAAUAUGGAGAUAAAGGGAAAGUGACUGGCCCCCCAAAAACAUGCAUUACCUUGUUGCUUUCUGUUACCAAACCAAUCCACUGAUGAAGUAAAGUAAAUCACUUAUUUUUCAGAGAAUAAGAGAAAUUCUCCCUUGACCUCUCUAAGUUUAUUUUUGAAAGCAGUGAGUCAAAGUGGCAAGAUUAUGUUCUUCAAGAAACAAUAUCAGUGUUUCUGGUCUCUACAUAAAAAUGUUAUUAAAAGAAAACAUUCUUAUGGAAAUUUAGUAGGUACAACACAAGAAGGUCCAAUAUUGUAGACUGUAGCCUCUACAGAUAGUCUGGACAACCUUCACAUCAGCUGUUUGGGGCCCACAAAAGAGGCUGCAUUUUGGAGAAGUCCUUCUGAGUACAAGUUUGGAUUAGAGCAAUGAUCAGGUCUGGUCCAAAGGACAGUUUUCCAGCUGCUCCCUAGCCUUGUUGCUGGGGCUAUGGGAACAUGUCACAAGACUGGUCUUUACUUCUGGGCUGGCAUCUCCAGUGGUACAAGAAGCCCGUUUUCUUUUGGAGAUCUCUGACUCGAGUUUUGGCUUAACUUUUAUUAAGAAGCUAUCUGGAUAAAGAGACAUUUACAAGCUGAGAAAGGAGUAUGGGAGGACACACCAAGAAAGUGCCCACCUGCAAGCUAAGGAGAGAGGCCUCAGGAGAAACCAGACCUGAUAUUGUCACCCUGGUGUUGGGCUCAUCAGCCUCCAGAACUGUGAGCAAGUAAGUUUCUUGUUCAUGGUAUCUAGUCUGCGGUAUUUUGUUAUGAUAGCCCCAGCAGACUGAUAUAGGCCAUCUAUGUUUUUGAUCUUUGCAUUAAUUUUAGCAUGCAAUCCCUGGUAGCAAUUUCAGUCCUUAGAACAAGUCAAAAUUUGGGAUUGGACUACUGCUCAUGAUCCAUUUGACUCUGGAUGACUAGGCUCAGUCUAACAUAGGAAUUCCAUGUUCCACUUAGCUUAGCAAUGGGCAUGAUCUAAUCCUAGGAUAAAGUCCAGAAACAAACCAUUCCCCAAAUUCACUGUAAGAUUAGCAGUUUUCUUUGCUCAUGUAU
RNAcentral lists this long non-coding RNA (1233 nucleotides) under Heterocephalus glaber (naked mole-rat). RNAcentral's name for it is "lncRNA (ENSHGLG00100033953.1)". Lineage: Eukaryota; Metazoa; Chordata; Mammalia; Rodentia; Bathyergidae. The record is from RNAcentral.